This 480-nucleotide ribosomal RNA is filed under the name uncultured bacterium. Its description in RNAcentral is "bacterial SSU rRNA". It matches the Rfam family "Bacterial small subunit ribosomal RNA", at positions 28 to 527 of the family's 1533-position model. The record is from RNAcentral.
GAUGAACGCUAGCGGCAGGCCUAACACAUGCAAGUCGAGGGGCAGCACGUCUUCGGAUGGUGGCGACCGGCGCACGGGUGCGUAACGCGUAUGCAACCUACCUCUUACAGUGGGAUAGCCCAGAGAAAUUUGGAUUAAUACCGCAUAGUAUACAGAUUCAGCAUUGGGACUGUAUUAAACAUUUAUGGGUAAGAGAUGGGCAUGCGUUCUAUUAGUUAGUUGGAGUGGUAACGGCACCCCAAGACAGCGAUAGAUAGGGGCCCUGAGAGGGGGAUCCCCCACACUGGUACUGAGACACGGCCCAGACUCCUACGGGAGGCAGCAGUGGGGAAUCUUGGACAAUGGGGGAAACCCUGAUCCAGCCAUGCCGCGUGAGUGAUGAAGGCCUUAGGGUCGUAAAGCGCUUUCACCUGUGAUGAUGAUGACAGUAGCAGGAGAAGAAGCCCCGGCUAACUCCGUGCCAGCAGCCGCGGUAAAGUG